GCUGGAGGAGGCAUGUUUUCGAGCAGCUCGGGCACUCUCUUUGGCAGUCCAAGAAGCAUUUCUUCUGCUUCUUCUAGCCUACAGCUCAGUUCCAAUAGUUCAAGUGGGUACAAUUAUCUCCAAGAUGGGAAAAAUGGGUGCCAAAUUUCAGGCUCGGCUCACAUGUCAGCAACAGCCUUGUUGCAAAAGGCAGCACAAAUGGGUGCAACUGCUAGUAACAGUAUCAACUCUCCCAUGAUGCAGAAGAGCUUUGCAAGUAGCAUGGCAGGUCCUGACCAGUUCUCUUCUAUAAGACCACCAUCUUAUGGUGUGGUUCAGCAGCAUGGGACCACCUUAUAUGAUCACUUCCCAUCACAACCUGAACAAACAAGCAUGGUGGGAAUCAACGCUGGAGGAUUCAAUAAUAAUAAUCAGCCCUUGCAAAAAUGCCCACAAG
Molecule: unclassified non-coding RNA, 436 nt
Filed under: Hevea brasiliensis (rubber tree)
Lineage: Eukaryota; Viridiplantae; Streptophyta; Magnoliopsida; Malpighiales; Euphorbiaceae
Source: RNAcentral